Cucurbita pepo subsp. pepo (vegetable marrow) is the source of this 516-nucleotide non-coding RNA. Lineage: Eukaryota; Viridiplantae; Streptophyta; Magnoliopsida; Cucurbitales; Cucurbitaceae. The record is from RefSeq and is a predicted model, not a curated record.
CCCAUAUUGAACCGUAAACCCACAUUGGUCUUAUUGGGAAAGUGGCGUCGUUCCUUCUUGUAUACCUUCGAAUCGUGUAUACGGUUUCCCUGGCGUCGUUCCCAGGAAUUCGAUGUCGAUUUCAUCGUGGUUUCCGGGGUAAUAUUGGUUGUUCGAAAGCUAAAUCAGAAUAAAGUUAAAACACGUGUAGCCGGAUUGGAGUUUUACAGCAACACCAAAGUAACCGGAUCGGUAUGAGCGCAGUGAUUUAAACCCGCUACCUGUUCGACGAAAUGACGCACAGAGAAAAAUCAGCCAAAAUACCAAAAUGGGAAUGAGUAAAGCUUGCAAGCUAUGGCUGCUGCUCUCCAUGAUUGAUGUCACAGAAAAUGACCCAACUUGAGGCUCCAUUGAUGAUGUUUGGCGAUUUGAAUAUCAGACUCAACGAGAAGAAGGUAAAUUAAUGCGUCGAAGGGUAUAGGAAUCAUCGCAUGUCCUAGAAGAUUAGACACUACAAGCCAUACUUCGAUGUAAGAC